AUUGAACGCUGGCGGCAGGCCUAAAACAUGCAAGUCGAACGAGUGGCGGACGGGUGAGUAAUGUAUGGGAAACUGCCUGAUGGAGGGGGAUAACUAAUGGAAACGGUAGCUAAUACCGCAUACCAUCAGAUGUGGCCAGAUGGGAUUCGCUAGUUGGUGGGGUAACGGCUAAACAAGGCGACGAUCCCUAGCUGGUCGGAGAGGAUGACCAGCACCACUGGAACUGAGACACGGUCCAUACUCCUACGGGAGGCAGCAGUGGGGAAUAUUUCACAAUGGGCGCAAGCCUGAUGCAGCCAUGCCGCUUGUAUGAAGAGGGCCUUCGGGUUGUAAAGUACUUUCAGCGGGGAGGCGUUACCCGCAGAAGAAGCACCGGCUAACUCCGUGCCAGCAGCCGCGGUAAUUC
RNAcentral lists this ribosomal RNA (406 nucleotides) under uncultured bacterium. RNAcentral's name for it is "partial 16S ribosomal RNA". It matches the Rfam family "Bacterial small subunit ribosomal RNA", at positions 30 to 526 of the family's 1533-position model. The record is from RNAcentral.